GGAGUAGACCGGGUGAUCGCUCGCCGGCUUGCCGGCGGGAGGAAAGUCCGGACUCCGAAGGGCAGGGUGCUGGGUAAUUCCCAGGCGGAGCGAUCCGACACCGGCGCCACAGAAAACAAACCGCCGAUGGCCCGAAAGGGAUCAGGUAAGGGUGAAACGGUGGGGUAAGAGCCCACCGCGUCUGUGGUGACACAGACGGCAGGGUAAGCGUCGCCCGGAGCAAGACCAAAUAGGAGGACGCCCGACCGCAAGGUCGGAUCGGCUGGCCCGGCCGAGGUCCUCGGGUAGGUCGCCCGAAGCUCGAGGUAACUCGAGCUCCAGAGAAAUGAUCAUCCCCGUGGCGGCGUCAAGCCGAGGCGGGACAGAAUCCGGCUUAUAGGUCUUCUCCAGCG
Molecule: RNase P RNA, 392 nt
Filed under: Nitrospirota bacterium
Lineage: Bacteria; Pseudomonadati; Nitrospirota
Description: RNase P RNA component class A
Rfam family: Bacterial RNase P class A
About the family: Ribonuclease P (RNase P) is a ubiquitous endoribonuclease, found in archaea, bacteria and eukarya as well as chloroplasts and mitochondria. Its best characterised activity is the generation of mature 5'-ends of tRNAs by cleaving the 5'-leader elements of precursor-tRNAs.
Source: RNAcentral